This 678-nucleotide ribosomal RNA is filed under the name uncultured archaeon. Its description in RNAcentral is "bacterial SSU rRNA". It matches the Rfam family "Archaeal small subunit ribosomal RNA", at positions 1 to 682 of the family's 1478-position model. The record is from RNAcentral.
UCUGGUUGAUCCUGCCGGAGGCCAUUGCUAUUGGGAUCCGAUUUAGCCAUGCUAGUCGUACGAGUUCAGACUCGUGGCGAAUAGCUCAGUAACAUGUGGCCAAACUACCCUUCGGACCGCAAUACCCUCGGGAAACUGAGGUUAAUAGCGGACACCACACGCAGACUGGAAUGUCGCGUGUGUCAAACGCUCCGGCGCCGAAGGAUGUGGCUGCGGCCGAUUAGGUAGACGGUGGGGUAACGGCCCACCGUGCCAAUAAUCGGUACGGGUCAUGAGAGUGAGAACCCGGAGACGGAAUCUGAGACAAGAUUCCGGGCCCUACGGGGCGCAGCAGGCGCGAAACCUUUACACUGCACGCCAGUGCGAUAAGGGGAUCCCAAGUGCGUAGGCAUAGAGCCUACGCUUUUGUCCACCCUAGGGUGGUGGACGAAUAAGGGCUGGGCAAGACCGGUGCCAGCCGCCGCGGUAAUACCGGCAGCCCGAGUGAUGGCCGAUCUUAUUGGGCCUAAAGCGUCCGUAGCUGGCCGCACAAGUCCAUCGGGAAAUCCACCUGCUCAACAGGUGGGCGUCCGGUGGANACUGUGUGGCUUGNGGCCGGAAGGCGCGACGGGUACGUCCGGGGUAGGAGUGAAAUCCUGUAAUCCUGGACGGACCGCCGAUGGCGAAAGCACGUCGCGA